This 393-nucleotide ribosomal RNA is filed under the name uncultured bacterium. RNAcentral describes it as "bacterial SSU rRNA". It matches the Rfam family "Bacterial small subunit ribosomal RNA", at positions 28 to 418 of the family's 1533-position model. The record is from RNAcentral.
GACGAACGCUGGCGGCGUGCUUAACACAUGCAAGUCGAGCGGUAAGGCCCUUUCGGGGUACGACGAGCGGCGAACGGGUGAGUAACACGUGGGUGACCUGCCUUUAGUCUCUGGGAGUAAGCCUGGGAAACGUGGGUCUAAUACCGGAUAUGACCCUAUGGCGCAUGUUGUGGGGUGGAAAGCCUUGUGCGGCUAGGGAUGGGCCCGCGGCCUAUCAGCUUGUUGGUGGGGUGAUGGCCUACCAAGGCGACGACGGGUAGCCGGCCUGAGAGGGCGACCGGCCACACUGGGACUGAGACACGGCCCAGACUCCUACGGGAGGCAGCAGUGGGGAAUCUUGCACAAAUGGGCGAAAGCCUGAUGCAGCGACGCCGCGUGAGGGAUGACGGCCUU